RNAcentral lists this transfer RNA (72 nucleotides) under Dipodomys ordii (Ord's kangaroo rat). It matches the Rfam family "tRNA". Rfam says of the family: Transfer RNA (tRNA) molecules are approximately 80 nucleotides in length. Their secondary structure includes four short double-helical elements and three loops (D, anti-codon, and T loops). The record is from Rfam by way of RNAcentral. Lineage: Eukaryota; Metazoa; Chordata; Mammalia; Rodentia; Heteromyidae.
GGAGACAUGGCUCAAUGGUAGAGCAUGUACUUAGCAAGUAUCAGUCUCUGAGUUUAAAUUCCAGUACCACCA